UGGGGAACAUUGGACAAUGGGGGAAACCCUGACCCAGCAACGCCGCGUGUGGGAUGAAGGCCCUCGGGUCGUAAACCACUGUCAGGAGGAAAGAAAAGUCGGCCGGAUAAUACUCGGUCGACCUGACGGUACCUCCAAAGGAAGCACCGGCUAACUCCGUGCCAGCAGCCGCGGUAAUACGGAGGGUGCAAGCGUUGUUCGGAAUUACUGGGCGUAAAGCGCGUGUAGGUGGUCGAGUAAGUCGAAUGUGAAAGCCCCGGGCUCAACCCGGGAAGUGCAUCCGAGACUGCAUUGCUGGAGUACGGAAGAGGAGGGCGGAAUUCCCGGUGUAGCGGUGAAAUGCGUAGAUAUCGGGAGGAACAUCAGUGGCGAAGGCGGCCCUCUGGUCCAGUACUGACACUCAAGUGCGAAAGCGUGGGGAGCAAACAGGAUUAGAUACCCCCGUAGUCCCUGAGCGGGCUGGCAAGGCGCAU
RNAcentral lists this ribosomal RNA (473 nucleotides) under uncultured bacterium. RNAcentral's name for it is "bacterial SSU rRNA". It matches the Rfam family "Bacterial small subunit ribosomal RNA", at positions 355 to 825 of the family's 1533-position model. The record is from RNAcentral.